GGAUUCUGUGAAAGACCAAAAGCAAAUGACCUGUUUCCUACCAGUGACCCCGCCACCCCCAGGGGAUGCAUACCUAGCAGGACUGAUCAGGCACAGCUCAGGAUUCCCUCUGAGAAACUUCAUGGCAGACAAUCACCACCAAAAGGAGCCUGAAAGAACACUGUGAAUCUGACUGGACGUAAGCAGCCCGAAGAAGCAUUUCAGGAGUCCUGAUGUGGGGACGCAGCAAAGAUUUAACAUCUUAUCAAUAGCUGCUAACUGUA
Felis catus (domestic cat) is the source of this 263-nucleotide long non-coding RNA. RefSeq lists it as uncharacterized. The transcript is spliced from 3 exons. The record is from RefSeq and is a predicted model, not a curated record. NCBI's taxonomy places the organism in Eukaryota, Metazoa, Chordata, Mammalia, Carnivora, Felidae.